GAAUAAUUUUGCUUAAUGUAGAAAUUAAAGAUAGCAUUUAUACUUUAGUGAAUAUUUAUGCUCCAAAUUUACCAAAGAACAGAAAUGUUUUUUUCAAAAAAGUAAAGGAUAUGAUAUCAGAGAAUAGCUUAGGGAUGGUAAUUGUUGGUGGAGAUAUGAAUGAUACUCUAUCAAUUAUUGACAGAAAAAAAUACAGCACAAAUAAAAAAACACAAAAACCAGUUAACAGUUUAAAAAAUCUAAUUAAAACACUAAAGUUGAUAGACAUUUGGAGAGAGACACAUAGUAACAAUACACAAUUUACAUGGAGACGCAAAAACAAUAUAAAUGAAGCCUCUCGCAUAGAUCUCUUUCUUAUAUGCCCAGAAAUAAGAUCACAUAUAUACUCAGCAGAUAUAAGACCUGCACUUAUAUCUCACACAGACCACCAAGCUAUAUCACUAAAGUUGAAAGGGAGAUCACAAUCAAAAGGGAAAGGAUAUUUUAAAAUUAAUAACAGCAUUUUGGAUAAUAUUGAAUAUAAAAACAUAAUAAAUGGCCUAAUUCAUAAAUAUAAAAACAAUCCAAAACUUACCAAAAAUAUUGGACACCAUUGGGACUUAUUCAAAAUUGAGGUCAAAGAAUACACCAUUGAAUACUGUAAAAGAAAAGCAAAACAGAAUAUAAGUGAAAUACAUGUAUUGGAAAAUAAAAUUAAAAAAUUAAAUGAAAACAUUAAUAAACAUUGUAAAGAUGAGGUAAUAAAGCAUUUUCAUGAAGAAUUAAUUAACAAUGAGAAUAAAUUAAAGAAAAUAUAUGAAAUAAAAACAAAAGGAGCUCAAAUCAGGUCACGAAUUCAAUGGGUAGAAGAAGGGGAAAAAAAUACUAAAUUCUUUUUAGGUUUAGAAAAAGCUAGACAAACAAGAAAAACUAUAACUGCACUAAGAGAUAAAGAAGGAGUGAUACAAACUGACUCAUCCAAAAUUUUACAAUUAGAGACAGAAUUCUAUAAAGAUAUUUAUAAAAGUACAAAUCCAGAUAUAAAAUCUAUAAAUGAUUAUAUUAAUGAUACAAAUAUUGAUCAUAAAUUAACAACACAAGAGAGUGAUAUUAUGGAAGGAAAAUUAACUAUAGAUGAAUGUACAGAUUCACUAUUUAAGAUGAAAUUGAACAAAGCACCUGGAAUUGAUGGUUUAAGCGUAGAAUUUUAUAGAACAUUUUGGGAAGAAUUAAAAGAAUUCAUUGUAUCCACAUUUAAUUUUUCAUAUAAAAAAGGG
This 1256-nucleotide long non-coding RNA is filed under the name Mytilus galloprovincialis (Mediterranean mussel). The record is from RNAcentral. Lineage: Eukaryota; Metazoa; Mollusca; Bivalvia; Mytilida; Mytilidae.